This 253-nucleotide ribosomal RNA is filed under the name uncultured Oscillospira sp. Its description in RNAcentral is "partial 16S ribosomal RNA". It matches the Rfam family "Bacterial small subunit ribosomal RNA", at positions 524 to 776 of the family's 1533-position model. Lineage: Bacteria; Bacillati; Bacillota; Clostridia; Eubacteriales; Oscillospiraceae. The record is from RNAcentral.
UACGUAGGUGGCAAGCGUUAUCCGGAUUUACUGGGUGUAAAGGGCGUGUAGGCGGGAGAGCAAGUCAGACGUGAAAUUCCAGGGCUCAACCCUGGAACUGCGUUUGAAACUGUUCUUCUUGAGUGAUGGAGAGGCAGGCGGAAUUCCGUGUGUAGCGGUGAAAUGCUUAGAUAUCGAGAGGAACACUCGUGGCGAAGGCGGGUUCCUGGACAUUAACUGACGCUGAGGCACGAAGGCCAGGGGAGCGAAAGGG